Molecule: ribosomal RNA, 429 nt
Filed under: Verrucomicrobiota bacterium
Lineage: Bacteria; Pseudomonadati; Verrucomicrobiota
Description: Verrucomicrobia bacterium partial 16S ribosomal RNA
Rfam family: Bacterial small subunit ribosomal RNA
Source: RNAcentral
UAGGGAAUCUUCCGCAAUGGACGAAAGUCUGACGGAGCAACGCCGCGUGAGCGAAGAAGGAUUUCGGUUCGUAAAACUCUGUUGUUAGGGAAGAAAAAAUGUAUAGUAACUAUAUACAAAAGAGACGGUACCUAACCAGAAAGCCACGGCUAACUACGUGCCAGCAGCAGCGGUAAUACGUAGGUGUCAAGCGUUGUCCGGAAUUAUUGGGCGUAAAGCGCGCGCAGGUGGUUUAGAAAGUCUGAUGUGAAAGCCCACGGCUCAACCGUGGAGGGUCAUUGGAAACUACUAAACUUGAGUGCAGGAGAUAAAAGUGGAGUUCCUAGUGUAGCGGUGAAAUGCGUAGAGAUUAGGAGGAACACCGGUGGCGAAGGCGGCUUUUUGGCCUGCAACUAACAAUGAGGCGCGAAAGCGUGGGGAGCAAACAGG